RNAcentral lists this long non-coding RNA (1208 nucleotides) under Astyanax mexicanus (Mexican tetra). Its description in RNAcentral is "lncRNA (ENSAMXG00005002078.1)". Lineage: Eukaryota; Metazoa; Chordata; Actinopteri; Characiformes; Acestrorhamphidae. The record is from RNAcentral.
CUUUGGAAUUUUAUUGUUGCUUGGUGGUUGCUAUAGCAGUUGCCAUGGUAUUUUAAGUGUUUUUUAUGACUUUGCUUUGGUAUCCCAGGUAGUUGCAAGUUGUUUAAUUUAAAGUUGCUUGGUGGUUGCUAGGUUGCUUCAGGUGGGACGCUCAGAGGGAUGGAAUGGGCUCUUUCAAUCCUAAUUAACCCAGGUGCAUUCUAGCUUGUUGUUUUAUAUUGUUGCUUGGUGGUUGCUAAGUCAGUUGCCAUAGUAUUUCAAGUGGUUUCUAUGGCUUUUCCAUGGUUUCUCAUGUGCAUUCUAGUUGGUUAUUUUAUUUUGUUGCUUGGUGGUUCCUUUUGCUGCAAGUGUUGUUUAUGACUUUUCUUUUAUAUCCCAGGUGGUUGCUAGCUGGUUAAUUUGUUGUUGCUUGGUGGUUGCUAGGUGCUUCAGGUCGUUUGUGUGGGGUUGGUAGGUGGAGGCGGAGCUCAGAGGGAUAGAAUGGGCAUUUUUAACCCUAAUUAACCCCCUCAAGCUCCCAGUAGAGUUGGAAUGGAGUUGGACGGUCAGCGUAAACAGUGUACAGUAGCUGGAGCCGUUAAUGACUGACUCAGAGGGUUCAGUUCCUAUAAUUGAAUUUCAGUGUCACACAUGUGACCAGCAGCUCGGCAGUGACAUUCCAACACACACACUGUAUACACACACAAACACAGACACACACACACACACACACACUGUAUACACACACAAACAGUUUGCGUCCUGAACUGUACACUAUAUUUUAGCGACGGUCAGCAAUGUACCGUGCACCGCCAAGACCACAAACCUGCAUCUUUUCCAUCCGUAAAUAAGAUUUUCUUUAACGUAAAAUAACAGAUAAACUCUCUGCUUGUGUUGUAGAUGUUCCUGUCCAUCGCCUUCGCAGCGCUCGGUGUUGCUGGCGCCCUCUACAGCUUCGUAGUGGCGAUGUUAGGACUGGUGAACGGACCCUACUGCAAAGUCCUGCUGAUCUGGACCACACCUUUCAAAGACAGCCCCUGUAAUAAGCCCCGCCCCCUGCGCUCCACAGCACAGAGAAACAGCGGCCUCUGGUGGACAGAUCCUGCUGCUGACUGCAGUUCAGCACCUGGAUACAGGAAUCAGAUCUUUAAUUUCACUAAACACCAAAAAACACCUGAAUUAAUGCUCAAAUAAUAAUAAACUGACUUUAAUUUAGAGUAUUUUAAUCA